CCUACGGGAGGCAGCAGUGAGGAAUAUUGGUCAAUGGGCUUACGCCUGAACCAGCCAAGUCGCGUGAGGGAAGACUGCCCUAUGGGUUGUAAACCUCUUUUGUCAGGGAGCAACGCCGGCUACGUGUAGCCGGACUGAGAGUACCUGAAGAAAAAGCAUCGGCUAACUCCGUGCCAGCAGCCGCGGUAAUACGGAGGAUGCGAGCGUUAUCCGGAGUUAUUGGGUUUAAAGGGUGCGUAGGCGGAAUGCCAAGUCAGCGGUAAAAUCGCGGGGCUCAACCUCGCUCCGCCGUUGAAACUGGCGUUCUAGAGUGGGCGAGAAGGAUGCGGAAUGCGUGGUGUAGCGGUGAAAUGCAUAGAUAUCACGCAGAACUCCGAUUGCGAAGGCAGCAUACCGGCGCCCAACUGACGCUGAAGCACGAAAGCGUGGGUAUCGAACAGGAUUAGAUACCCCUGUAGUC
Molecule: ribosomal RNA, 460 nt
Filed under: uncultured bacterium
Lineage: Bacteria
Description: partial 16S ribosomal RNA
Rfam family: Bacterial small subunit ribosomal RNA
Source: RNAcentral